This 116-nucleotide small nuclear RNA is filed under the name Carlito syrichta (Philippine tarsier). RNAcentral's name for it is "U5 spliceosomal RNA (ENSTSYG00000023793.2)". It matches the Rfam family "U5 spliceosomal RNA". Rfam says of the family: U5 RNA is a component of both types of known spliceosome. The precise function of this molecule is unknown, though it is known that the 5' loop is required for splice site selection and p220 binding, and that both the 3' stem-loop and the Sm site are important for Sm protein binding and cap methylation. The record is from Rfam by way of RNAcentral. Lineage: Eukaryota; Metazoa; Chordata; Mammalia; Primates; Tarsiidae.
AAAAUCUGAACCAAUACUCUGAUUGCAUAAACUUUUCGCCUUUAGUAAAGAUUUCCGUGGAGAGGAACAAUUCUGAUUCUUAGCCCAAUUUUUUGUGGCCUUGCACCUGCAAGUCU